RNAcentral lists this transfer RNA (78 nucleotides) under Duncaniella sp. Its description in RNAcentral is "tRNA-OTHER". Lineage: Bacteria; Pseudomonadati; Bacteroidota; Bacteroidia; Bacteroidales; Muribaculaceae. The record is from RNAcentral.
GGGCGGCAAGUUUAAGAGGCUGAAACACUGCCGAGGUGCACCGACGCAGAGAGGCGGGUUCGAUCCCCGUGCCGCCCG